RNAcentral lists this ribosomal RNA (279 nucleotides) under uncultured bacterium. Its description in RNAcentral is "partial 16S ribosomal RNA". It matches the Rfam family "Bacterial small subunit ribosomal RNA", at positions 506 to 784 of the family's 1533-position model. The record is from RNAcentral.
UGCCAGCCGCCGCGGUAAUACGGAGGGUGCGAGCGUUAUUCGGAAUUAUUGGGCGUAAAGGGCGCGCAGGCGGUCUUGUCAGUCAGAUGUGAAAGCCCCGGGCUUAACCUGGGAACUGCACCCAAUACUGCUUAGCUAGAAUAUGGUAGAGGGAGGUAGAAUUUCCGGUGUAGCGGUGAAAUUCGUAGAUAUCAGGAGGAACACCGAUGGCGAAGGCAUCUCUCUGGGCCGAUAUUGACGCUGAGGCGCGAAGGCGUGGGUAGCGAACGGGAUUAGAUA